RNAcentral lists this ribosomal RNA (329 nucleotides) under uncultured Lachnospiraceae bacterium. Its description in RNAcentral is "partial 16S ribosomal RNA". Lineage: Bacteria; Bacillati; Bacillota; Clostridia; Lachnospirales; Lachnospiraceae. The record is from RNAcentral.
GGAGUUUGGGCCGUGUCUCAGUCCCAAUGUGGCCGUUCACCCUCUCAGGCCGGCUAUUGAUCGUCGCUUUGGUAAGCCUUUACCCCACCAACUGGCUAAUCAAACGCGGGUCCAUCCAUAAGCAAAUCUCCUUUUCUCACUGUAUCAUGCGAUACUGUAAGCUUAUAGUGUAUUAGCAAAAAUUUCUCUCUGUUAUCCACUUCUUAUGGGCAGGUUACCCACGUGUUACUCACCCGUCCGCCACUAGAAUUCUUACCGCUUCAACCUAAGUCUCUGCUAUAAGAUUCCCGUUCGACUUGCAUGUGUUAAGCACGCCGCCAGCGUUCAUC